Molecule: non-coding RNA, 143 nt
Filed under: Streptomyces coelicolor
Lineage: Bacteria; Bacillati; Actinomycetota; Actinomycetes; Kitasatosporales; Streptomycetaceae
Source: RNAcentral
GGUGUUCGCGGGCCGUGGUGGACUUCCGGGGCCAUCUACGGCGGCAGAAGAGGAAGCCCGGUGCGAAUCCGGCGCGGUCCCGCCACUGUGACCGGGGACAGGAUCCCCGGGAGCCAGGAACUCUCGCCGCCGUGCUCUUCGAA